RNAcentral lists this ribosomal RNA (382 nucleotides) under uncultured bacterium. RNAcentral's name for it is "bacterial SSU rRNA". It matches the Rfam family "Bacterial small subunit ribosomal RNA", at positions 28 to 412 of the family's 1533-position model. The record is from RNAcentral.
GACGAACGCUGGCGGCGUGCUUAACACAUGCAAGUCGAGCGGUAAGGCCCUUUCGGGGGUACACGAGCGGCGAACGGGUGAGUAACACGUGGGUGACCUGCCCUCAGCUCUGGGAUAAGCCUGGGAAACCGGGUCUAAUACCGGAUAUGACUCCAUGACGCAUGUUGUGGGUGGAAAGCCUUGUGCGGCUGAGGAUGGGCCCGCGGCCUAUCAGCUUGUUGGUGGGGUGAUGGCCUACCAAGGCGACGACGGGUAGCCGGCCCGAGAGGGCGACCGGCCACACUGGGACUGAGACACGGCCCAGACUCCUACGGGAGGCAGCAGUGGGGAAUCUUGCGCAAUGGGCGAAAGCCUGACGCAGCGACGCCGCGUGAGGGAUGAC